Molecule: ribosomal RNA, 774 nt
Filed under: uncultured bacterium
Lineage: Bacteria
Description: bacterial SSU rRNA
Rfam family: Bacterial small subunit ribosomal RNA
Source: RNAcentral
CACUGGGAUAACCCUGGGAAACCGGGGCUAAUACCGGAUACGNCCACGGCGGACAUCCGCUGUGGUGGAAAGCGUUAGUGGCUGAGGAUGGGCCCGCGGCCUAUCAGCUUGUUGGUGGGGUAACGGCCUACCAAGGCGACGACGGGUAGUCGGCCUGAGAGGGCGACCGGCCACACUGGGACUGAGACACGGCCCAGACUCCUACGGGAGGCAGCAGUGGGGAAUAUUGCGCAAUGGGCGAAAGCCUGACGCAGCGACGCCGCGUGAGGGACGAAGGCCUUCGGGUUGUAGACCUCUUUCAGCAGGGACGAAGCGAAAGUGACGGUACCUGCAGAAGAAGCACCGGCCAACUACGUGCCAGCAGCCGCGGUAAUACGUAGGGUGCAAGCGUUGUCCGGAAUUAUUGGGCGUAAAGAGCUCGUAGGCGGUCUGUCGCGUCGGCUGUGAAAACCCGGGGCUCAACCCCGGGCCUGCAGUCGAUACGGGCAGACUAGAGUUCGGCAGGGGAGACUGGAAUUCCUGGUGUAGCGGUGAAAUGCGCAGAUAUCAGGAGGAACACCGGUGGCGAAGGCGGGUCUCUGGGCCGAUACUGACGCUGAGGAGCGAAAGCGUGGGGAGCGAACAGGAUUAGAUACCCUGGUAGUCCACGCCGUAAACGUUGGGCGCUAGGUGUGGGACCCUUUCCACGGGUUCCGUGCCGUAGCUAACGCAUUAAGCGCCCCGCCUGGGGAGUACGGCCGCAAGGCUAAAACUCAAAGGAAUUGACGGAAUCGA